UUGAAUAGGCAAAUUGUCGGAAACGGCAAGACGCAAAGUUAUGAGCCUACGGCAAAUUAAGCUAUGGCAGUCAGA
This 75-nucleotide non-coding RNA is filed under the name uncultured Eubacterium sp. RNAcentral's name for it is "Cyclic di-GMP-I riboswitch". It matches the Rfam family "c-di-GMP-I riboswitch aptamer", at positions 7 to 79 of the family's 87-position model. From Rfam's summary of the family: GEMM was predicted in a large-scale screen for bacterial structured RNA regulatory elements. Genes associated with GEMM are involved in a diverse array of functions, including chemotaxis regulation, signal transduction, secretion and chitin. Lineage: Bacteria; Bacillati; Bacillota; Clostridia; Eubacteriales; Eubacteriaceae. The record is from RNAcentral.